This 415-nucleotide RNase P RNA is filed under the name Novosphingobium aerophilum. RNAcentral describes it as "RNase P RNA component class A". It matches the Rfam family "Bacterial RNase P class A". From Rfam's summary of the family: Ribonuclease P (RNase P) is a ubiquitous endoribonuclease, found in archaea, bacteria and eukarya as well as chloroplasts and mitochondria. Its best characterised activity is the generation of mature 5'-ends of tRNAs by cleaving the 5'-leader elements of precursor-tRNAs. Cellular RNase Ps are ribonucleoproteins. Lineage: Bacteria; Pseudomonadati; Pseudomonadota; Alphaproteobacteria; Sphingomonadales; Sphingomonadaceae. The record is from RNAcentral.
CCGGGGAGCCGGGCAGCCGCGUCAGGGGCAACCCUGCCGAGGAAAGUCCGGGCUCCACGAAACAAGGGUGGCGGGUAACGCCCGCCGGCCCCGGCGCAGGCCGGGGUCAGGGACAGUGCCACAGAGAGCAGACCGCCAAACCCGGCUCCGGCCGGGCGGCAAGGGUGAAAGGGUGCGGCAAGAGCGCACCGCGCGACCGGCAACGGAAGCGGCAAGGCAAACCCCACCCGGAGCAAGACCGAAUAGGGGCGGCGUGCUGGCAACAGCGGGUCUGUUUCGGACCUGAUCGCCCGGGUUGGUCGCUGGAGCGCCGCAGCAAUGCGUCGCCGAGAGGAAUGGCUGCCCCGGCCGAUACGGUCUCUCUUCAGGGAUACCGUCGGUCGGACAGAACCCGGCUUACAGGCUCCCCGGUGCA